AACGAACGCUGGCGGCAUGCCUAACACAUGCAAGUCGAACGAGAUCUUCGGGUCUAGUGGCGCACGGGUGCGUAACGCGUGGGAAUCUGCCCUUUGGUUCGGAAUAACAGUUGGAAACGACCGCUAAUACCGGAUGAUGACGAAAGUCCAAAGAUAUAUCGCCAGAGGAUGAGCCCGCGUAGGAUUAGCUAGUUGGUGUAGUAAAAGCUUACCAAGGCGACGACGGGUAGGGGGUGUGAGAGCAUGGCCCCCCACAAUGGCACUGAGACACGGGCCAUACAUCUACGGAUGGCAGCAACUGGGAAUCGUUGGCAAUGGGCGAAAGCCUGACCACGCGACGCCGCGUGAGGGAUGAAGUAUUUCGGUAUGUAAACCUCUUUUGCCAAAUCAUCGAGAUUUGGCGAAUAAGCGCCUACAAACUACGUGCCAGCCGCCGCCGUAA
This 442-nucleotide ribosomal RNA is filed under the name uncultured bacterium. RNAcentral's name for it is "partial 16S ribosomal RNA". It matches the Rfam family "Bacterial small subunit ribosomal RNA", at positions 29 to 523 of the family's 1533-position model. The record is from RNAcentral.